RNAcentral lists this ribosomal RNA (497 nucleotides) under uncultured bacterium. RNAcentral describes it as "partial 16S ribosomal RNA". It matches the Rfam family "Bacterial small subunit ribosomal RNA", at positions 28 to 507 of the family's 1533-position model. The record is from RNAcentral.
GAUGAACGCUGGCGGCGUGCCUAAUACAUGCAAGUCGAGCGAACGGACGAGAAGCUUGCUUCUCUGAUGUUAGCGGCGGACGGGUGAGUAACACGUGGAUAACCUACCUAUAAGACUGGGAUAACUUCGGGAAACCGGAGCUAAUACCGGAUGAUAUUUUGAACCGCAUGGUUCAAAAGUGAAAGACGGUCUUGCCGUCACUUAUAGAUGGAUCCGCGCUGCAUUAGCUAGUUGGUAAGGUAACGGCUUACCAAGGCAACGAUGCAUAGCCGACCUGAGAGGGUGAUCGGCCACACUGGAACUGAGACACGGUCCAGACUCCUACGGGAGGCAGCAGUAGGGAAUCUUCCGCAAUGGGCGAAAGCCUGACGGAGCAACGCCGCGUGAGUGAUGAAGGUCUUCGGACCGUAAAACUCUGUUAUUAGGGAAGAACAUAUGUGUAAGUAACUGUGCACAUCUUGACGGUACCUAAUCAGAAAGCCACGGCUAACUACGUG